Molecule: long non-coding RNA, 858 nt
Filed under: Nicotiana benthamiana
Lineage: Eukaryota; Viridiplantae; Streptophyta; Magnoliopsida; Solanales; Solanaceae
Description: long non-coding RNA (NBEN_LNC021921)
Source: RNAcentral
UAAUAUGAUUACUUAGGUCUAGUUAAAAAGUAUUCACCAUCUCCCACGUAUAUCAAAUGGCAAAAGUGUUCCCAUAAAACCAAUAAUUUGAAGGAAUGAACAUGCGAAGAGAAAUUAGUUCAAUGAUUAUCUUGUUCCAAUGCAACAUCUGAAAUAACUAACAGUCACAAGUUCGCCGUCAAGACAUCAUCAAGUUCCUUAGAAUGUAAAGAUAAUGAGAACUCAAUCACUUGAAAAGAAUUUUAAGGGCAAAAGAAUUGUGUAGUCAACUCUCUUCGGAUCCCUAUGAAAGUUACACAAUCACGUACAAAAUCAACAAUCCACCAUCCUACAACUACUAACUUCUCCUAAGGUUACACUCUUCGAGAAGAAUGUCUUCUAACAAGUAAGCUAGUACUAUAUGCAUUUCGUGUUUACAAUCAUUUCUACAGUGAAACAACAUAUAAGCUUACAAGAUAGACGGCUUCAAUAAGUUCUGUGCAUAUGCUGCAAAUUUUCAUGCAUCCUAAACUUGGGUUUUCUCAGGUUGCCGAGAAACUUCCUUAUCAGCAAAGUGAAGGAGCCUUCGAAGCCUUAAUACCAUGUCACAAUGAAAAGGUAAAGGGAUUUGAUUUUAGCUGGAUUGAAUAACAAUGGGUUUUCUCAGGUUGCCGAGAAACUUCCUUAUCAGCAAAGUGAAGGAGCCUUCGAAGCCUUAAUACCAUGUCACAAUGAAAAGGCAAAGCAGAUCUUCUCUCCAAGUAUGCUGGACUUACAGUCAUCCAUGAUAAAGCAUGGAGCUCUGCAGCUAUGUUCUCGAGAAUCAAGUGAGUCUCUAUUUCAACGUCUCUUGUUUCUGAGCCUGUACCCCUUCCCCCA